AAACCUACCUGGCAGUGGAGAUACCAUUAUCACGAAGGUAGCUUUCCUGGGGUGAGGCUUACCCACUACACCCCUGCGAUUUCCCCAAAUGUGGGAAACUCGACUGUAUAAUUUGUGGUAGUGGGGGACUGUGAUUGUUGAUGUUCUUCC
Molecule: small nuclear RNA, 150 nt
Filed under: Octodon degus (degu)
Lineage: Eukaryota; Metazoa; Chordata; Mammalia; Rodentia; Octodontidae
Description: U1 spliceosomal RNA (ENSODEG00000020995.1)
Rfam family: U1 spliceosomal RNA
About the family: U1 is a small nuclear RNA (snRNA) component of the spliceosome (involved in pre-mRNA splicing). Its 5' end forms complementary base pairs with the 5' splice junction, thus defining the 5' donor site of an intron.
Source: RNAcentral